Molecule: ribosomal RNA, 476 nt
Filed under: uncultured bacterium
Lineage: Bacteria
Description: partial 16S ribosomal RNA
Rfam family: Bacterial small subunit ribosomal RNA
Source: RNAcentral
UUGAACGCUGGCGGCAUGCCUUACACAUGCAAGUCGAACGGUAACAGGUUAAGCUGCCGCGUGGCGAACGGGUGAGUAAUGUAUCGGAACGUGCCCAGUCGUGGGGGAUAACUGCUCGAAAGAGCAGCUAAUACCGCAUACGACCUGAGGGUGAAAGCGGGGGAUCGCAAGACCUCGCGCGAUUGGAGCGGCCGAUAUCAGAUUAGGUAGUUGGUGAGGUAAAGGCUCACCAAGCCGACGAUCUGUAGCUGGUCUGAGAGGACGACCAGCCACACUGGGACUGAGACACGGCCCAGACUCCUACAGGAGGCAGCAGUGGGGAAUUUUGGACAAUGGGCGCAAGCCUGAUCCAGCCAUGCCGCGUGCGGGAAGAAGGCCUUCGGGUUGUAAACCGCUUUUGUCAGGGAAGAAAAGGUUCUGGCUAAUACCUGGGACUCAUGACGGUACCUGAAGAAUAAGCACCGGCUAACUACGUG